CGUCCUCAAUCCACCUUUCCGACAUGCAGCAAGGGAGGGAGGUGGCGAGCUGAGAGCACAGCUACUCGCCAGCCAGUCAGCCAGGCAGGAUGCUGCCAUAA
Molecule: long non-coding RNA, 101 nt
Organism: Sapajus apella (tufted capuchin)
Lineage: Eukaryota; Metazoa; Chordata; Mammalia; Primates; Cebidae
Exons: 3
Source: RefSeq, a predicted model, not a curated record